UUCACGCCUCUCAGUCUCAUCUCAUCUCAGGUCUCUAUUCUAUAUCGAUGGUGUCUCUCUCUCUCUUUCCCAUCUCAAACUGAGUUCUCUCUCUCACUCUCAUCCAUCUCAGAUCAGAUCGGUGUGCUGCUGCUAUCUCUCCGUUGAUCUCCAUCUCAGAUUAGAUCGAUCUAUAGCUGUUGUCUUCCUCUUUCGGUUCCCAGAUCAUCCAUCGCAGAUUAGAUCGAUUGUUCAUGUCAUCUACAAUGGAUUCAGUGAAUGUUUACAGGAAUGGAGUUGCUAUUGGAAUGGAAAUGCUAGUGGCAUAGGAUGUUUACAGGUUUUCAGUUUAUGGAAAUGCUAGUGGAAUAGAAUGGAAAUGCUAGUGAAAUGAAAGUUUAAUUUGGAAUGGUUUGCAGUUUAUAAUAUUGUUUACAGGUUUUCAAAUAGGAUGUUUACUUAUAUAAUAUUGUUUACAAGUUUACCACUCAGAUUAUAUUGUUUGCAGGCUGCUAUUAGAAUGGAUGUUUAAUUAUAUUGUAGACAGGUUUUCAGCAGCUAUGUUGCUAUUGGAAUGAAAAUGUAAUGUCUAUAUCUUUUUUGUUAUUUAAUUAUUUAAAUCCGUGGUCCUAAACCGAUCCAAUCUGUGUUUCAACGGAUUGGUUCCACAAUUUAAACGGAUUGGAUUGGUUCUAAUUUUUCAAGCAUCGUAGAUAACGGAUUGGUCUUGGUUUUCUCCCAAUCCGGACCAAUCCGGUCCAUGCUUCCGUCCGAAAACUCUCUCACUGACUUCUAUUAUCUCUCUAUCCCUCACUCACCGACUCAAAUCUCUGCGUCUUUCCGGUCUCUCAUCUCUCUCUCUCUCUCUCUCACCCUUACUGACUUCUCUCCUCUCUCACGAUCCCUCACUCACUGUCACUGACUCAGAUCUCUCUCUUUGAGUCUCACCGUUUCUCUCAUCUCUCUCCCUCCCUCCCUCACUCAGCAAUCAUCUAGAUCCAUCAUCACCAAUCUGAACAGAUCCUGAACCGUGGCCCAUCCGUGAAGCUUCCGUUGCCACCGAUCUGAACAAGACCAGGACCGUGACUGUGAAGCCCCCCUUCUCUCUCUCUCUCUCUCUCUCUCUCUCUCUCUCUCUCCCUAUAUAUAUAUAUAUAUAUAUGUUGUUGAUGUUUUAAUUUUUUUUUAAGUUGUAUAUAUAUAUUAGUUGUUGCCACCGAUCUGUUGUCUGUUGUUGUUGAUGAUUGUUGUUGAUCUGAAUAGUUGGUCUGUGUGUGUUGUGAACAGAUAAGUCGGGGAUAUUUCGGGGUCGGGGAAACCCGAUCCCCGUUAGGGAACGGGUGUGGGGGAGGUAAGGGCCUUGGAUCGGAGGCGGGGACGGGGAUGUUUUUACUUUUGGGGAUCGGGGACGGGGACAGGGAGUGGCAUCCCUGACCCCGCCCAGCCCGUUGCCAUUCCUACAUAUCAGUCUCAAAAAGGGAUGAACAGAGAUAUGGAGGUGGAUGAAGGUAGGAAGGGGUGGGUCACUGCCACUGGUGGAGAAAGUGUGGAGGAGUGGGGUUGCCGAGGAAGGGUGGUCCAGAAGCACAUCAUUAUUGGUAAUAGUCUUAACCGAUACAAUUUCCUUUGGUUUUUGUCUUCAGUCUUCAAAUCUGGCAAUGGAGUAGCGAGCGAGGUUCUGGGUUGUGCAAUUAUGGUCAUCACCGCUGGUGCUAGAGGCAUCAGUGAACCCAAUAUCACUCUCCUAGUGGGUUGCUCAACUUGCUUUACUGAAUAAUGAUUCACAACUUCCUCUGUUUCCUCAACAUCUGUCCUUUACUGAUAGUGUGUCGGUCACUUGUCUUUGUGCAUGCCUACCAAUUGUUUGUUGAUAUGCCCAAGUGUGGUGGGCCAAAUAUGAUUGCUUUUCUUCUGCAUUUUAGAUUAGUGGCCCAAGCUGAAGAAGUCCUAUUUUCAACUUGGUACCUUUAUUUAUUUGGUUUGGAGUUAUUACUUGCCCUCAAAUUGUUUGAAUGCUUUUUACUUGGUUAUAGUUUCAAUUUUUUUUGGUGGUAAUGCUUGAUUUUGUGAGUUUUUUCAGAUGGGUGGGUUUGUGGGUAUGAUAGUGCCAGUUGUGGAAAACAGUGAUGGUGGAUGUGGGAGGAUGGAAGGUGGUGGGGUAAGUUUGGGUGGUGGAAUCUGGUUGUGUUAAUUAGACUUAUAGAAGAAAAGGAACACGAUAAGGAAAAGGGAGAAGAUAGUGAAGUAAAUUUUUAUUUUUAGUUGAAGGGAUUAAGGUCAUUCUAGUUUUUCUGUUUCCUCCACUUAGAGAUAAAUACUGAACCUCUCAUUGACAUUUUGCUUGAGUGGGGCUGGGUCAUCCUUGGUAACUCCCACAUCGAUUCUGAUUCUAUAUGCUGGUUUGUGGACGAGAUUUCAUUGUGUAAUAUUGUUAAGCAAUCAACAACAAUAGAAAAUGAGAUGCAUUCUAGAGGUACGAUUGGGUUCAACAAAUGUGACCAUUCAAUUGCUAGGCUUCAGAACAGCUGCUUGGCCUUUUGGUGCAUUAGAAGAAAUCAUGAAAGAAUCCAUUCUGAAUGCUCUAAAACUCGAGUAUAGGCACUUUGAUGCGGCUGCAGUUUACUAGUCAGAGUAGACCCUUGGUGAAGCUAUAGCAAAAGCUCUACAGCUCGGCCUCAUUCAAUCUUGCACUGAGCUUUUGCAUCACAUCCAAACUUUGGUGCUCCGAUGCACAUCCUGACCGUGUCCUCCCAGUACUACAAAAUACUUUGCAGUAAGACAAGACAAUUUUCAUUUAUAUUAAUAAUUAACAAACUCAUACAUAGUAUUUUAUUUUGGUUCUGUUUUAUUACAUGUAUUUUUAAGAGACUUGGGUUGGAGUAUUUAGAUCUAUAUCUCAUUCACUUUCCAAUCAGCUUGAAAUUCGGGAGCUACGAGGUGCCUUUCAGUAAUAAGGACCUUCUUCCCAUGGAUUUCAAGUUUGUGUAGGAAGCUAUGGAGGAGUGUCAUAAACUCUGCCUCUCCAAGCAUAUCGGAGUUAGCAACUUCUCUUGCAAGAAGCUUCAACAGUUACUUCUCACAUCAAAGAUCCCUCCAACUGUCAAUCAAGUGAGUGUUCUAUUUUCAACAAAUAAGUCUAUUAUGUUGGUUUCAAAUAAAGAGAUUUGAGAAUAAGGAGAUGGAAAAACAAUGAAAGAAGGUAAGUUGAGAUAGAAGAUAUUUAAUAGGAUUUUUGUAGCUAGAAAGAAAAUUCUUAGCAUGAUUAUUGUAGCUAGAAAGAAUAUGUUUAGUAUAAUUUCAAAUAAUUAUUUUUAUAUUGUUUUUCAAUUUUAUCAUAUUAAGACUAUUUAACUCAAUCUUAAAAUUGAUAGAUAAACUAUCCUAUCAAGUUAAUGUGCUUGAAUGAUUAAGGUCAAAUCCCUUCAUUUCAAAUUCAGAUCCACAAUUAGUCCUAAGUCACUUCCCUCUAGAACAAAUAUCAUAUCAAUCGUUAUUUAUUUAUUUUUUUUUUGAAGAAUUUUGCAAAUGGCCUUGAGUAUUUUAAAAAAAAAAUACUAAAUUAUUAUUUUUUUAGUACUCGAGGUCAUUUGCAAAAUUAUUUUUUUAAAAAAAUUAAUGAUUGAUAUGAUAUUUGUUGUUCUAGAGGGAAGUGACUUGAGACUAAUUGUGGAUGUAAAUUUGGAAUCAAGGGAUUUUUAUUUUUUUUCACCAGUAAAAAAGAAAAAUUUAUUAAUGCAAUUUGCAAAGAUUACAUCAAUAAAAACUCCAAGCUGCAAAAUGGCAUCAUGGCAAAAAUAUUCAACACAUCAACUAAGCAGACCAACCCAAAAAACAAAAACACAGCCACAGCAGCAAAGCUUCCCAAUUGCAAAAAUUGAUGAACAAACUUGUUAGUACCAGGAUCAUCUAUGCCCAUCCAAUCAACCACUAUACAUUAACCCACUUCCACAAACAUUCUUCUAAAGAAAUCAAAGGAUUUGACCAUAAUCAUUCAAGCACAUUAACUUGAAGUUUGAUAUGAGAGUUUACCUAUGAAUUUCAAGAUUGAGUUAAAUAGUUUUAUCAUGAUAAAAUUGAAAUAAUUAUAUAAAAAUAAUUAUUUGAAAUUAUGCUAAGCAUUUUCUUUCUAGCUACUAGAAUCAUGCUAAGAAUUUUCUUUCUAGCCAUAAAAAUCUUAUUAAACAUCUUCCGUCUCAACUUACCAUCUUUCUUUGUUUUUCUAUUUCCUUAUUCUUAAAUCUCUUUAUUUGAAACC
Molecule: long non-coding RNA, 4234 nt
Organism: Camellia sinensis
Lineage: Eukaryota; Viridiplantae; Streptophyta; Magnoliopsida; Ericales; Theaceae
Source: RefSeq, a predicted model, not a curated record